This 346-nucleotide ribosomal RNA is filed under the name uncultured bacterium. RNAcentral's name for it is "bacterial SSU rRNA". It matches the Rfam family "Bacterial small subunit ribosomal RNA", at positions 29 to 404 of the family's 1533-position model. The record is from RNAcentral.
AACGAACGCUGGCGGCAGGCCUAACACAUGCAAGUCGAACGCUCCGCAAGGAGAGUGGCAGACGGGUGAGUAACACGUGGGAGUCUUCCUGUUGGUUCGGAAUAGCUCAGGGAAACUUGGGGUAAUACCGGAUAAGCCCGAGAGGGGAAAGAUUUAUCGCCGACAGAUGAGCCCGCGUCUGAUUAGCUAGUUGGUGAGGUAAUGGCUCACCAAGGCGACGAUCAGUAGCNGGUCUGAGAGGAUGACCAGCCACACUGGGACUGAGACACGGCCCAGACUCCUACGGGAGGCAGCAGUGGGGAAUAUUGCGCAAUGGGCGAAAGCCUGACGCAGCGACGCCGCGUGA